This 29-nucleotide non-coding RNA is filed under the name Homo sapiens (human). The record is from RNAcentral. Lineage: Eukaryota; Metazoa; Chordata; Mammalia; Primates; Hominidae.
UGGGCUAAAGCCACGGUGUCAGCAGGGCU